GAUGAACGCUGGCGGCGUGCCUAAUACAUGCAAGUCGAGCGAACAGACGAGGAGCUUGCUCCUCUGACGUUAGCGGCGGACGGGUGAGUAACACGUGGAUAACCUACCUAUAAGACUGGGAUAACUUCGGGAAACCGGAGCUAAUACCGGAUAAUAUAUUGAACCGCAUGGUUCAAUAGUGAAAGACGGUUUUGCUGUCACUUAUAGAUGGAUCCGCGCCGCAUUAGCUAGUUGGUAAGGUAACGGCUUACCAAGGCAACGAUGCGUAGCCGACCUGAGAGGGUGAUCGGCCACACUGGAACUGAGACACGGUCCCGACUCCUACGGGAGGCAGCAGUAGGGACUCUUCCGCAAUGGGCGAAAGCCUGACGGAGCAACGCCGCGUGAGUGAUGAAGGUCUUCGGAUCGUAAAACUCUGUUAUUAGGGAAGAACAAAUGUGUAAGUAACUAUGCACGUCUUGACGGUACCUAAACAGAAAGCCACGGCUAACUACGUG
This 497-nucleotide ribosomal RNA is filed under the name uncultured bacterium. Its description in RNAcentral is "partial 16S ribosomal RNA". It matches the Rfam family "Bacterial small subunit ribosomal RNA", at positions 28 to 507 of the family's 1533-position model. The record is from RNAcentral.